UCGGGAAUCUUCGGCAAUGGACGAAAGUCUGACCGAGCAACGCCGCGUGAGUGAAGAAGGUUUUCGGAUCGUAAAACUCUGUUGUUAGAGAAGAACAAGGACGUUAGUAACUGAACGUCCCCUGACGGUAUCUAACCAGAAAGCCACGGCUAACUACGUGCCAGCAGCCGCGGUAAUACGUAGGUGGCAAGCGUUGUCCGGAUUUAUUGGGCGUAAAGCGAGCGCAGGCGGUUUCUUAAGUCUGAUGUGAAAGCCCCCGGCUCAACCGGGGAGGGUCAUUGGAAACUGGGUAACUUGAGUGCGGAAGAGGAGAGUGGAAUUCCAUGGGUAGCGGUGAAAUGCGUAGAUAUAUGGAGGAACACCAGUGGCGAAGGCGGCUCUCUGGUCUGUAACUGACGCUGAGGCUCGAAAGCGUGGGGAGCAAACAGA
This 429-nucleotide ribosomal RNA is filed under the name Gemmatimonadota bacterium. Its description in RNAcentral is "Gemmatimonadetes bacterium partial 16S ribosomal RNA". It matches the Rfam family "Bacterial small subunit ribosomal RNA", at positions 355 to 776 of the family's 1533-position model. The record is from RNAcentral. Lineage: Bacteria; Pseudomonadati; Gemmatimonadota.